Xenopus tropicalis (tropical clawed frog) is the source of this 912-nucleotide long non-coding RNA. RefSeq lists it as uncharacterized. NCBI's taxonomy places the organism in Eukaryota, Metazoa, Chordata, Amphibia, Anura, Pipidae. The record is from RefSeq and is a predicted model, not a curated record. The transcript is spliced from 2 exons.
UCAACCCCCAUCUGAUCAGUUGGUAUGUGGGGGGCAGUGGCUGAAAGGUGCAUAAAUGUGGGCUGGACAGUGGUCAAGGGAGCAACCUGGGGGGAGCAACCUGGGAAAAGAACCUGGGAGGAGCACCUGAGGACUGGAUCAGAAGUGACUGGGCAGGAUGUGAGACAGACCGGAGAGGAGGCCAUGGCAAGGAAUCAGAACACCAUGUACUUUGUUCAUCGCUCAUCCACUAACUCUGCGUAACGCCACUUCACGUCACUCCAGAUUCUUUGCAAGACGCGGACACUGAGUUGGACCUGGUAGUCCCGUCUGAGGCGCCGACGCAGUCUCCUCAUGAUCCCCCUGCAGAUCGACUGGAUCCUGGGAGUGCCUGGUGGGAUAUUAUCAUAGCCCUCCCGGUGCAGGAAUGACACAAAGAAACGCAGCUGCACCUCAUCCAUAUUCCCAGGUCCUGCCAUGUCCACAUCUUGACAUGUUUUCCAGUCCUAAUGGCCACAGGGCAGGGCACCAAGUAUUUAUACUAGGGACACACCAAUUUGAAGCAAGUGCGAGAGAAUUUUGGUGCGAACGUCAAAUUCGUUGCGCUCCGGGCUUGUCGCGCUCCGGUUUUGCCGCGCGCGAAUAUUUGCUUCCGCUAGAGUAUAUUUGCUCGCGAAAAUGUACAUUUUUUCACGCGAGCGUAUAUUUGGUCGCGCAGAUGUACAUUUGGUCGUGCAAGUGUAUAUUUGGUCGCGAAAAUGUCCAUAUAUUUUAAGCAUAUAUUUUGACGUGCAAGUGUGAAUUUUUACGCACAGGCCUCUAGUUUGACACGUAAGUGAGAAUUUUGACUUUUCUGCUAUUGUAUUGAAUGGGCCUCAGAACCAUUAUGCUUUUUUUGCUUGCACCUCCAUUAAAUAAUUCAAUUAAUUAUAA